ACGAACAGGACAUAUAUCGCAAGCAUGGUUCGUAUUUCAAUAUUCUUUUACGUUUAAACUAUAUACAUAUAUAUCUACCGUAUAAUUUAGUAAUUUUAUUUACAAAUGUAACGAAUGACAAUGAAUGUUUCUCAUAGAUUUAUAAUCACAUUGAUGUGUUAUGUUUUUUAAUACUAAACUUUUCUAAACUUUUAAAAGAUAUAAUUUUUUAAAUCGUUUUGGAUUGAAUAUCUUUCCGUUCAUAUGAUAUACUAUUUAUAUUAUGUAUGCAAUAGAGAAAUACACGAGACAAUGAGGUUUUCGAAUCUCUAUGGUUACCGAAUAAGCACAACAUAUGUUACGUAUUACGAAGUGGUUCUUUUAUGAACUUGAAAUACCAACAGAAGGAUGAGCGUAAGUUCACACGCAACAUCGACACUUAAGAAUAACGAACUUUGCUAAUAAUGCUUUUUCUUAUUAUUAUGCAUAUAGUUGUGCUUUUUUCUAAUAAUUAGAAGUUUUUUAUUUUUUAUUUUUUAAUGUAGAAUAUCUACUAUUUUUAUAUUAUAUAUUUUCCAUAUAAAAAUAAUUAUAAAAUAGAAAAUUUAUAAAAUGUUAGACUAAUAAUAAAAGAUGUAUUUUUUUCGGAUUA
Molecule: long non-coding RNA, 631 nt
Organism: Apis cerana (Asiatic honeybee)
Lineage: Eukaryota; Metazoa; Arthropoda; Insecta; Hymenoptera; Apidae
Source: RefSeq, a predicted model, not a curated record